This is a long non-coding RNA of Solanum pennellii, 1025 nucleotides long. RefSeq lists it as uncharacterized. The transcript has 2 exons. NCBI's taxonomy places the organism in Eukaryota, Viridiplantae, Streptophyta, Magnoliopsida, Solanales, Solanaceae. The record is from RefSeq and is a predicted model, not a curated record.
CCCAAACACAAAGAAAUUUCAGCUAACAGGGAAAUAGCGACUCGAGUGCAGUUUCAAUCGCGCGCAUCUGUCCACCCUCUCAUCCUUAUCCUUGUCGUACGGUAUAAUCCAGAUGUUGCAAUCUCGUGGUUUGCUCAUCCUUGUAAAGAAAUCGGACGGUCCUCCUCAGCAGUCCAUUGCAGAUUGAUGAAUUUUGUACUAUUUACAGCUAUUCAAUAUUAUCUCUUUAAGAAAAUUGGAAUUUUGAUUUUAAAAUUUGACCCUUUUUCCUCUCUUUUCCCCCCCAAAUCCGAACCUCAAUCCCUUGGUAUAAAUAAUCCUCUUCUUUUUGUGUUAGGGGGAUUUUUUGGGGGUGUUGGAUGGAUUUUGUAUAAAAAAUAUAUAUAGAGGAAGAAAUUUUAGAGGAAAAAAAAGAAGGUUUGGUCUUCACUGAUACAAGCUUUGGAAGAAGCAUAGUUUAGAGAAAAACAAAAAAAUUUAUAAGCUUGCAGACAGAAAGUUAAUAUUUGAACAAGGAGCAUUCUGAAAUAGUAUCCUAAAGGACUUAAUUCUCUUUCCGUUCAGUUUCUUCCUUCACGCAUAGAUUGUCGUAGUUCAUAGAAUCUCAUGCGGUUGUGGUGAAGUUGUUGCUCUGUUUCGUCUUGUCCCAGAAGCUGCCUAUAAGAAGAGACAUAAAGGCUUAAAUAUUCAUUUUCUUGGGUCUACAAUUCCCCCUUUUUCCUGCUAAGCAGUUACGAACAGAUUUUUGAACCAAAAGUUGAAGCGGAGACAUUGAAGAGUUGAUGUUCUGUGACUAAAAGCCUAUAUUUUGUAUUUAUUUUAUUUCAUCUUUUGUUAGGCCUAAGGCCUUUGUAAGUUUACUUAUUUUGUUUGAUUAGUCUAGGACAGAUACAAAGGAAAAAGGUCAAGGUCCCGAAAACGCCAAACGGGUCCAAAUAUUGGUCCAGGCGGACAAAUAACCCAGAUUUGGGCCCAACUCUCUCUCUUCUGUCUCUCUUACUUUUGUUUAUUUAUUUGUUUUUAUA